This 1262-nucleotide long non-coding RNA is filed under the name Homo sapiens (human). Its description in RNAcentral is "HSALNT0173630". Lineage: Eukaryota; Metazoa; Chordata; Mammalia; Primates; Hominidae. The record is from RNAcentral.
UUAAAGAGUAGCUCUUGUACCAGGGAAAUGAAGAUUUGAUCCUGCACUGCUCUUAAGGUCUACCCUUCUCCUUUCCUGCCAUGCUGGAACAGCUUCAAUAGCAAUGCAAUGUGCCUGAAAUCAGCCAUACCCUUUCAUCUGCCAUGACCCCAAGAUCCCUGAAAUGACCCUGUUCUAACUGCGGGCAAACACUAUGGGAAAUACUCGUAACUUCUAAGUCUAGUUCAGAUUCUCUUGGCUGCCGAAUUCCGAAACAGUCAUAAAAUGUGAUUUGCACUCCUAGACACUCAGGAAUCUCUCCGUUACCUCAGAGAAUCUGGCCACAAACAGGACUCAGAGUGGAAAUUGCCCAACCUGUCUGCUAUCACUCUCUUGAAAGAGACAGAUCCGAUCAGCAUCUCUCAACUGUGACUCAUGAGGUAUUUUUGGCUAUGUCAAGAACAUUCUCAAACAAGGUUGUACUGAAUUUUCUCUAUUGAUUCCCCUUCCUGAACACAGUCCAUGGUCCAUUCUCUGCCUUGUACGCCCUAGUAUAGGUUCCAGGAAGCUAAACCUUACAGAGAGAAACACAGGCUCUCUUGCCACCUGAUUCUCAUGUGGGUUUGGUCGAGGAAGGACCAAGAGGAACUUGGAAAUCAGAAGGAAAAAGAGUUUAAGUAUUUCCCAACAUUCUCUCUAAGGAUUUUGCCACUUCUUUGCAGAACAAAGAAUGCACACCUACCAAAGGGCUACUUUGCACUCAGCACUGAGUUUAUAUUUAAGCUGGUAGAUUUUGAAUGAAGUAGAUUACCCUUCAUAGUAUGAAUGGACCUCAUCCAAUCAGUUGAAGGCCUGAAUAGAACAAAAGACUGACCUCCCUGAGCAAGAGAGAAUUCUGUGGCAGGCUGCCUUUGGACUUCAACUGCAACAUCAGCUCUUCCCUGGGUCUCCCACUUGACAGCCUUCGAACUUGAACUGUAGCAUCGGCUCAUCCUGGGACUCCAAUCUGCCAGACCACAGCAGAUUUUGGACUUGCCAGCCUCUAUAAUCACAUGAGCCAAUUCCUUAAAAUAAAUAUCUCUCUCCAGACACACACAUUUUAUUGGUUCUGAAUAAUACACUCUUCAUAGUCUUCUUCUUGUUAUUAUUCUUCAGUGGGAAAGGAGGAUAAGAGCAAGUAUAUACUGAGUGCUUACUAUGUGCCAAACAUUAUGUUUAUUUAUUUACUUGUUUAUUUUUAGAGACACCAUUGGCUCCUCACAAUAUCUCUAUGAAAAAUGUAU